UUCCGGUUGAUCCUGCCGGACCUGACUGCUAUCGGAUUGAUACUAAGCCAUGCGAGUCAUUGUAGCAAUACAAGGCAGACGGCUCAGUAACGCGUAGUCAAUCUACCCUAUGGACGGGAAUAACCUCGGGAAACUGAGAAUAAUGCCCGAUAGAACAUUAUGCCUGGAAUGGUUUAUGUUUCAAAUGAUUUAUCGCCAUAGGAUGGGACUGCGGCCUAUCAGUUUGUUGGUGAGGUAAUGGCCCACCAAGACUAUUACAGGUACGGGCUCUGAGAGGAGUAGCCCGGAGAUGGGUACUGAGACACGGACCCAGGCCCUAUGGGGCGCAGCAGGCGAGAAAACUUUGCAAUGUGCGAAAGCACGACAAGGUUAAUCCGAGUGGUUUCUGCUAAAGAAACCUUUUGUCAGUCCUAGAAACACUAACGAAUAAGGGGUGGGCAAGUUCUGGUGUCAGCCGCCGCGGUAAAACCAGCACCUCAAGUGGUCAGGAUGAUUAUUGGGCCUAAAGCAUCCGUAGCUCGUUUUGUAAGUUUUCGGUUAAAUCCAUGCGCUUAACGUAUGGGCUGCCGGGAAUACUGCAUAACUAGGAAGUGGGAGAGGUAGACGGUACUCGGGAGGAAGGGGUAAAAUCCUUUGAUCUCUUGAUGACCACCUGUGGCGAAGGCGGUCUACCAGAACACGUUCGACGGUGAGGGAUGAAAGCUGGGGGAGCAAACCGGAUUAGAUACCCGGGUAGUCCCAGCUGUAAACUAUGCAAACUCAGUGAUGCAUUGGCUUAUGGCCAAUGCAGUGCUGC
Molecule: ribosomal RNA, 796 nt
Filed under: uncultured Nitrososphaerota archaeon
Lineage: Archaea; Thermoproteati; Nitrososphaerota
Description: bacterial SSU rRNA
Rfam family: Archaeal small subunit ribosomal RNA
Source: RNAcentral